Molecule: ribosomal RNA, 522 nt
Filed under: uncultured bacterium
Lineage: Bacteria
Description: bacterial SSU rRNA
Rfam family: Bacterial small subunit ribosomal RNA
Source: RNAcentral
UCAGGACGAACGCUGGCGGCGUGCCUAAUACAUGCAAGUCGAACGGUCUUUCUAUGGGAGCUUGCUUCCACUGAGAAGAUAGUGGCGAACGGGUGAGUAACACGUGGGUAACCUGCCCAUAAGAGGGGGGAUAACAUCCGGAAACGGGUGCUAAUACCGCAUAGUUUUCUUGAUCGCAUGAUUGAGAAAGGAAAGACGGCCUUUGUGCUGUCGCUUAUGGAUGGACCCGCGGCGUAUUAGUUAGUUGGUGAGGUAACGGCCCACCAAGACGAUGAUACGUAGUCGACCUGAGAGGGUGAUCGGCCACAUUGGGACUGAGACACGGCCCAAACUCCUACGGGAGGCAGCAGUAGGGAAUCUUCCGCAAUGGACGAAAGUCUGACGGAGCAACGCCGCGUGAGUGAAGAAAGGUUUUCGGAUCGUAAAACUCUGUUGUCAGAGAAGAACAAGUUGGAGAGUAACUGCUCCAGCCUUGACGGUAUCUGACCAGAAAGCCACGGCUAACUACGUGCCAGCAGCCGC